This 85-nucleotide transfer RNA is filed under the name Terrimonas sp. RNAcentral describes it as "tRNA-Ser". It matches the Rfam family "tRNA". Rfam says of the family: Transfer RNA (tRNA) molecules are approximately 80 nucleotides in length. The record is from RNAcentral. Lineage: Bacteria; Pseudomonadati; Bacteroidota; Chitinophagia; Chitinophagales; Chitinophagaceae.
GGAGAGUUGACAGAGCGGUAAUGUGCAGGUUUGCUAAACCCAGGCUACCGGAAACGAUACAAAGGUUCGACUCCUUUACUCUCCG